This 449-nucleotide ribosomal RNA is filed under the name uncultured Desulfobulbus sp. RNAcentral's name for it is "bacterial SSU rRNA". It matches the Rfam family "Bacterial small subunit ribosomal RNA", at positions 938 to 1382 of the family's 1533-position model. The record is from RNAcentral. Lineage: Bacteria; Pseudomonadati; Thermodesulfobacteriota; Desulfobulbia; Desulfobulbales; Desulfobulbaceae.
UAUGUGGUUUAAUUCGAUGCAACGCGAAGAACCUUACCUGGUCUUGACAUCCCGGAGACCCUUAGGAAACUAGGGGUGCUUCCAUCUGGAAGAAUCUGGAGACAGGUGCUGCAUGGCUGUCGUCAGCUCGUGUCGUGAGAUGUUGGGUUAAGUCCCGCAACGAGCGCAACCCUUGCCUUUAGUUGCCAGCAGUUCGGCUGGGCACUCUAAAGGGACUGCCGGUGUUAAACCGGAGGAAGGUGGGGAUGACGUCAAGUCCUCAUGGCCUAUAUGACCAGGGCUACACACGUACUACAAUGGCCGAUACAAAGGGCAGCGACACUGCGAGGUGAAGCCAAUCCCGUAAAAUCGGUCUCAGUCCGGAUUGGAGUCUGCAACUCGACUCCAUGAAGUUGGAAUCGCUAGUAAUCGUGGAUCAGCAUGCCACGGUGAAUACGUUCCCGGGCCUU